RNAcentral lists this ribosomal RNA (497 nucleotides) under uncultured bacterium. Its description in RNAcentral is "partial 16S ribosomal RNA". It matches the Rfam family "Bacterial small subunit ribosomal RNA", at positions 28 to 507 of the family's 1533-position model. The record is from RNAcentral.
GACGAACGCUGGCGGCGUGCCUAAUACAUGCAAGUUGAGCGAUGAAGAUUGGUGCUUGCACCAAUUUGAAGAGCAGCGAACGGGUGAGUAACGCGUGGGGAAUCUGCCUUUGAGCGGGGGACAACAUUUGGAAACGAAUGCUAAUACCGCAUAACAACUUUAAACAUAAGUUUUAAGUUUGAAAGAUGCAAUUGCAUUACUCAAAGAUGAUCCCGCGUUGUAUUAGCUAGUUGGUGAGGUAAAGGCUCACCAAGGCGAUGAUACAUAGCCGACCUGAGAGGGUGAUCGGCCACAUUGGGACUGAGACACGGCCCAAACUCCUACGGGAGGCAGCAGUAGGGAAUCUUCGGCAAUGGACGAAAGUCUGACCGAGCAACGCCGCGUGAGUGAAGAAGGUUUUCGGAUCGUAAAACUCUGUUGGUAGAGAAGAACGUUGGUGAGAGUGGAAAGCUCAUCAAGUGACGGUAACUACCCAGAAAGGGACGGCUAACUACGUG